RNAcentral lists this transfer RNA (76 nucleotides) under Pseudomonadota bacterium. RNAcentral's name for it is "tRNA-Thr". It matches the Rfam family "tRNA". Rfam says of the family: Transfer RNA (tRNA) molecules are approximately 80 nucleotides in length. Their secondary structure includes four short double-helical elements and three loops (D, anti-codon, and T loops). Lineage: Bacteria; Pseudomonadati; Pseudomonadota. The record is from RNAcentral.
GCCAGUGUAGCUCAGCAGGUAGAGCAAUCGCCUUGUAAGCGAUAGGUCAAGGGUUCGAGUCCCUUCACUGGCUCCA